GAUGAACGCUGGCGGCGUGCCUAAUACAUGCAAGUCGAGCGAACAGACGAGGAGCUUGCUCCUCUGACGUUAGCGGCGGACGGGUGAGUAACACGUGGAUAACCUACCUAUAAGACUGGGAUAACUUCGGGAAACCGGAGCUAAUACCGGAUAAUAUAUUGAACCGCAUGGUUCAAUAGUGAAAGACGGUUUUGCUGUCACUUAUAGAUGGAUCCGCGCCGCAUUAGCUAGUUGGUAAGGUAACGGCUUACCAAGGCAACGAUGCGUAGCCGACCUGAGAGGGUGGUCGGCCACACUGGAACUGAGACACGGUCAAGACUCCUACGGGAGGCAGCAGUAGGGAAUCUUCCGCAAUGGGCGAAAGCUUGACGGAGCAACGCCGCGUGAGUGAUGAAGGUCUUCGGAGCGUAAAACUCUGUUAUUAGGGAAGAACAAAUGUGUAAGUAACUAUGCACGUCUUGACGGUACCUAAUCAGAAAGCCACGGCUAACUACGUG
This 497-nucleotide ribosomal RNA is filed under the name uncultured bacterium. RNAcentral describes it as "partial 16S ribosomal RNA". It matches the Rfam family "Bacterial small subunit ribosomal RNA", at positions 28 to 507 of the family's 1533-position model. The record is from RNAcentral.